AUUGAACGCUGGCGGCAGGCCUAACACAUGCAAGUCGAACGAGUGGCGACCGGGUGAGUAUUGUCUGGGAACCUGCCUGAUGGAGGGGGAUAACUUCUGGAAACGGUAGCUAAUACCGCAUACCAUCGGAUGUGCCCAGAUGUGAUUAGCUAGUAGGUGGGGGACCGGCUCACCGAGGCGACGAUCCCUAGCUGGUCUGAGAGGAUGACCAGCCAAACUGGAACUGAGACACGGUCCAGACGCCUACGGGAGGCAGCAGUGGGGAAUAUUGCACAAUGGGCGCAAGCCUGAUGCAGCCAUGCCGCGUGUAUGAAGAAGGCCUUCGGGUUGUAAAGUACUUUCAGCGGGGAGGCGUUACCCGCAGAAGAAGCACCGGCUAACUCCGUGCCAGCAGCCGCGGUAAUUC
Molecule: ribosomal RNA, 406 nt
Filed under: uncultured bacterium
Lineage: Bacteria
Description: partial 16S ribosomal RNA
Rfam family: Bacterial small subunit ribosomal RNA
Source: RNAcentral